GGUACUUUGAUAUUUUAUGUACAGUAUAUAAUAAGUAUUUGGUGUACUUUGAUAUUUUAUGUACAGUAUAUAACAUGUAUUUGGUGUACUUUGAUAUUUUAUGUACAGUAUAUAAUAUGUAUUUGGUGUACUUUAAUAUUUUAUGUACAGUAUAUAAUACGUAUUUAGUGUACUAUUUGAUAUUAUAUGUACAGUAUAUAAGAUACA
Molecule: long non-coding RNA, 207 nt
Filed under: Homo sapiens (human)
Lineage: Eukaryota; Metazoa; Chordata; Mammalia; Primates; Hominidae
Description: HSALNT0346420
Source: RNAcentral